Non-coding RNA from Lactuca sativa (garden lettuce), 344 nucleotides. The record is from RefSeq and is a predicted model, not a curated record. NCBI's taxonomy places the organism in Eukaryota, Viridiplantae, Streptophyta, Magnoliopsida, Asterales, Asteraceae.
UUCUCUCUCUAACUUCUCUCUAGCCUCCCUAAACCCCUCCCAAGUCUACGGAACCUCCCUAGCAUGAGAAGAAAGCCCCGGAGCGCCCGACGGCUCCGAGAAGAAAAGCUUUCGGCUUGGAAACGCUGCUCCAGCGAAGCCCGGUUUUUAAUAAAAACUCGCUGUUUUGUCGAGGAAAAUUGUUUUGAGAUAACGAAGUGCUGUCUGAGUUCGGAAUCACCACCUAAUCAGGUGUUGAUAUGAAGUGACAUUACACUGAGAGAUUUAAAGAGAUGUAGAUCACUAGUGUAAAUAAUUGUAAGUUCUGUUUAUGCUUAUGUUUCUGUAUUAACGAUGACAUCCCA